RNAcentral lists this long non-coding RNA (4884 nucleotides) under Gossypium barbadense (sea-island cotton). Its description in RNAcentral is "long non-coding RNA (GBAR_LNC013111)". Lineage: Eukaryota; Viridiplantae; Streptophyta; Magnoliopsida; Malvales; Malvaceae. The record is from RNAcentral.
GCCGUAAAUACCCUCAUGGAUUCUGGGGAUGCUGCAACCUCAUCAGCUAAGGCAGAAGUUGUCCCGUCCACACUCCCGGAAUAAUCUCCAACAAAGCUUUUAAACAUUUCAUCGAGUUUACCCAUCCUCGACUUAAAGGUAGGGUCUGCUAUUAUUUUGUUGAAUUGCUCCCCAAAGUCGGACAUAGCAAGUUCUGGGGAUGCCGCCUCAUCCUCCUUUUUUCCUACUGCAAAUUGGAUUGAGAGCAUCAAAGCCAAUGAGAAUACAACGAAAGAAACCUUCGCCAUGUUUUUUUUUUGUUUUUUUUUUAAAAAUUUUAAGAAAAAAAAGUAAGAUAUAUUUUUAUCGAUGGAACUGAGACCAAUUUUAAAGAGUUUAAAAUGAGAUUUUUUUUGCCAAAUUUAGGGGCGGUUGAAUGGUCUGGUGCUUAAUAGCCAUACACCAUUAACAGCCAAAGUAUGUAAUUUUUCUUUAUUUUGACUCUUUUCUCUUUCUUCCCCCUUUUAUUGUUUCCCGAAAUAGGGUUUAUUUUAAUCAAGUUUCAAUGUUCUUCAGAUGGGAAGAAAUGGGACUUCAAGAUUAGGGAUUAAAACUUAAAAGGAAGAAGAUAAAUAGGGUAAAUAGGUAAUGAGUAUUUUGUGUAUAUUUCCAUUCAAUACAACUUUAAUCAUGGGCGAAGCCAGAACAAUUAUUUAGGGGGCGAAUGAAAUUUUAAUUUUUUUAUAGUCUAUAUCUUUAUAAUUUUUAAGGGAUCAAAUUGAAUUUUUAUAAUUUCAGGAGGGGCCAAAGUGUAAUUUUAUAAUUUUGUAAUUUUUUUAAAGGCCUAAAUAAUAAUUUUUCAUUUUAGGGGGGCUAGGGCCCUGCCAGCCCCCUAGCUGCGCCUCUGACUUUAAUCACCAUUUAAAAAUCUAAUUUUGACAAUUCAUAAAUGAGUCUUACAUAUUUAAACAUCGAUAAUUAAUGUAUUGAGAAGCGAUGGAUGAAAAAGUACCGAUAGACGUUGGAAAAAAUUAAUAAUGCAUAAUAUGAAUUAUACUUAAUGUUAAUAUAACAUUUAUUUUUAAUUAUCCUAAAUUCAAGGUAAAAGAUAUGAUUUAAUGCUUUUCUUAAUUAGUGUAUCAAAUUCGGAAAUAAUUUUUCUAAAAAAUAUUGGCCAAAAAACUUUACAAAAGUUAGAUCUUACAAUUUUUAGAAAGAAAAUUUUAGCUUUGAAUAAAACCGUGGUUAAUGCCACUCUUUACAAUAUUGAAAAAAAAUUUAUUAAACCUAAGCUUAGAACAUUAAGCGAACAUCAGAUCUAAUGUGUAUUAUCGUCCGUCACCAGUGACAGUUUAAUUUCAUAUUCAAGCGUACCUCUCACAUAUUAUAGUGGGCCUUCCAAAAUAAUCAAUCGUUCAAUUACAUCUUCAUCUGUCUGAGUUAUGCAGCCAGUAAUUUUAUUGACAUUCCGUUGAAUGUAUAUCAAUUUUUAAUAAUAAUAUAUAAAUGAAACAUAGUUAUAUGGUUCUAAUAAAAACAACUCGAAUCAAUAUAAGAAAAGGUUACAGACACACCAAAAGGGGCAAGGAUCGACUCUGCUUUUUGGAACAGGACGUCAUUCUCCGCUCCAAAUUGGCCUCCGUUGAUACAUAGUAUCAACAAACACAAUACGAUCUUUGUUUGUGGAGUUAAAAAUGAAUAAAGCUAAAUUGCAUAUAUAAUUCUUAAAAGGAAAGAAAAAGUAAAAGUAAAAUUGAGCACAUUACUUAGAAUCCGUAUGUUUCUAGCAGAGACGAGUCCUCCAUGAGGGAUGAAAUUGAAAAGUAAGAAUAAAGCCCACAGGAAGCAGCAAAGGAUGAGAGAAAAUGAAGCUUUCAUAAUUCCCAUCAUAAUAAUAUGUUUUCUUUUCUCAAGGAAACUAUUUUAUUAUACCAUCAUAUAAAUUUUUUCAUAUGAAUGAGGGUCUUCUUCUUCUUUCAUAACAAUGACAGUGAAGCUUGAAAUUUGGUUAAGUUGGGUGUUGUUGGGUGAAACUGGUGUGGUGAUCCAAACAUACCACAACUUAGGAUUAUUAUUCCCCCACCCCAUUCGUAUUAAAAUCGUAAGUAUUCUUUUUUUGUCAAUUUUAAACUCUGAUUAGCCUGUACUCAUAUGACGUGACAUACAAUUGAGAGAAAAUACUUACGGGACUAAAAUUUUUAAACUGAAAAGAAAAAGGAUUAAAUUUUUUAUUCUUUGAUUACAAUAUUGUUAUUUGUUUUAAAUUUCUUAUCAAAUGUUGGAAUAAAAAAAAAUUGGGACCAAAGGUGUGUUCAUUUUCGAGUUUGGCUCUCAUCUGUAUAUAUUUUUAUCCAAUAUAGCUUUAAUCAUCGUUUAAAACUAUGGCUUUGACAAUUCAUAGAUUAGUACUACACAUUUGAAAAUCGAUGAAUAAAAAAGUAUCGAACAAGAUCCCGAAUCCAUGCUUUACAAAGUCAAAGUCAAGCUGUUAGAGGGAAAAAUGAAUAUGAUUUUCUUGUGGUGAUACAAGUCCCUUUGAAUAAUAGUAAAAAUAAAAAGGCCUAAUAUAUUUUUGGCAUAAUGUUAAAGUGAAUCUUUAAUGUUCAUGUUUUACAUAUUUAAACAUUGAUAAUUAACGUAUUGAAAAGCGAUGAAUGAAAAAGUAUCGAUACGGUUGAAAAAAAAUUAAGGGUAAACUACACCCAUGGUCACUUUUGUUUACUUUAAGUUACGUUUUAGUCACUUGUGUUUGAAAUGUUACGUUUUAGUCAUUUACGUUAUCAUGUUGUAACAUUUUAGUCACUGAGCCAUUAAUAGCCGUUAAUGGUGUAACGGUAAGCUGACGUGGCACGUUAAAUCAUCAUUUCAAACAAAAUUUUAGGUUAAAUUAUACAACUGAUCCCCAUAUUUUUUUCGUUUUAAGUAAUUUAAUUUUUUUCUUUUAUGUUCUUUAAACUUUUCUCUUUUUUUCCAUUCUCUUUUGUUUCUCCCUCUGUUUUCAUACCUUUCCCAUUUCAUGUAACAUAUUAGGAAGUCGAAUUGGCAAUGAAAAAAUAAGUAGGAAGUCGACUGUCAUCAUUUGCCUAUAACCAAAACCCAUAAACCCAUACCAUGCUUCUUUUUUCACUACCAAUUUGACUUCCUGGUAUGUUAAAAGAAAUAAAAAAGGCAGAAAAACAGAGGGAGAAGUAGAAGAGAAUGGAAAAAAAAAGAAAGAAAGUUAAAAGAACAUAAAAGAAUUAAAUUGCUCAAAACGAAAAAUUAUGGGGACCAAUUGUAUAAUUUAACCUAAAGUUUUUGUUUGAAAUGAUGAUUUGACAUGCCACGUCAGUUUACCAUUACAUCAUUAACGACAAUUAACGGCUCAGUGACUAAAAUGUUACAAUACGAUAACAUAAGUGACUGAAAUGUAACAUUUCAAAUAUAAGUGACUGAAAUGUAACCUAAGGUAAACAAAAGUGACCAUGGGUGUAGUUUACCCAAAAAUUAAUAAUACAUUAAAAUUAAAGCUAGAAUUGAAUUAUCUAAUUCUAUAUAAAAUUUAAAUUAUAAGGGCUUGAUGUGGUUGCAAAUAAGAUUUCUUUUUGUUUAUAUCUUGUGGUAUUAUAACAUUUAUUUCUAAUUAUCCUAAAUUCAAGGUGAAAGAUAUGAUUUAAUGCUUUUCUUAAUUAGUGUAUCAAAUUCCGCAAUGAUUUUUCUGGCCAAAAAAAACUUUAUACAAUUUUUAGAAAGAAAAUUUUAGCUUUGGAUAAAAUCGUGAUUCACCCCUGCAUGCUAGAGCGCUUUUAUAUGACAAGGCCACUCAUUGUUUCAUAUGUUUGUUUUUAAUGUUUAUUUUGUAGGUGGAGAUAACAAACUUUAAAUUAAAGAGUUAAUGGCACCAGACGUCCCCAAACUUUGAAAUAUUUUAAUUACAUCCUAAAGCUAUCGAUGUUACAUUUAUCAGGUCAUUCUAUUUCUAAAACCGUUAUUUUAACCUUUAAAUGACACAAAAAAAUCUUAUAUAACAUAAUUUAAAAAUGAAAAUUUAAAAAAAAAGGAAAAUGUUGUCACAUAGCCUCAAACCAAAGAUUUUUACAACACCCAUUUUUAAAAUAUUCAUCUUUAAAUUAUGUCACAUAAAAUCCGACAUCUCAUUUAACAAUUUUAGUAACGGAAGGACCUUAUUGACAUAUUACCAAUAGUUUAAGGAUAAAAUUAGAAUAUUUUGAAUUUUAUAAAAUUAAAUGAAUAUGUCACAUGCACACAAUUUUUUGUUUUUUUUUUCCUUGAGUAAAACUUAAUUUAACUUAAAUAUUUUUAUUCUAAUAAAAUAGUAAUAAUAGAAUGGUUUAAUAACUUAUUUUUUUCUCUCUUUUUUGAGGCUUCUAAAUUGAACCGUUUCUUAUUUUGGGGAAGCUGCAACCUUAUCAGCUAAGGCAGAAGUUGUCCCAUCCACACUCCCGGAAUCAUCUCCCACAGAGCUUUUAAACCUUUCAGCCAGUUUAGCCACCCCCGACUGAAACUCAGGGUCUGUUACUAUUUUUUUCAAUUGUUCCCCUUGUACUCCGCCUUCAUGCAAUGCAGCAAUAAAGCCGGACAUAACUGAAGCCGUAAAUACCCUCAUGGAUUCUGGGGAUGCUGCAACCUCAUCAGCUAAGGCAGAAGUUGUCCCGUCCACACUCCCGGAAUAAUCUCCAACAGAGCUUUUAAACAUUUCAUCGAGUUUACCCAUCCUCGACUUAAAGGUAGGGUCUGCUAUUAUUUUGUUGAAUUGCUCCCCAAAGUCGGACAUAGCAAGUUCUGGGGAUGCCGCCUCAUCCUCCUUUUUUCCUACUGCAAAUUGGAUUGAGAGCAUCAAAGCCAAUGAGAAUACAACGAAAGAAACCUUCGCCAUGUUUUUUUUUUGUUUUUUUUUUUAAAAUU